This 450-nucleotide ribosomal RNA is filed under the name uncultured Glomeromycotina. Its description in RNAcentral is "SSU rRNA". It matches the Rfam family "Eukaryotic small subunit ribosomal RNA", at positions 569 to 1021 of the family's 1831-position model. The record is from RNAcentral. Lineage: Eukaryota; Fungi; Glomeromycota.
AGCAGCCGCGGUAAUUCCAGCUCCAAUAGCGUAUAUUAAAGUUGUUGCAGUUAAAAAGCUCGUAGUUGAAUUUCGGGAUUUGUCAGUUGGUCGGGCUUCACUGUUCGUACUGGCUUGAUGGAUUCCUACCUUCUGAAUAACCAGCAUGCUAUUAAGUUAGUGCGUUGGGGAAGCAGAUCUAUUACCUUGAAAAAAUUAGAGUGCUUAAAGCGGGCUUGUGCUUGAAUAGAUUAGCAUGGAAUAAUAAAAUAGGACGGCAUGGUUCUAUUUUGUUGGUUUCUAGGAUCACCGUAAUGAUUAAUAGGGAUAGUUGGGGGCAUUAGUAUUCAAUUGUCAGAGGUGAAAUUCUUGGAUUUAUUGAAGACUAACUUCUGCGAAAGCAUUUGCCAAGGAUGUUUUCAUUAAUCAAGAACGAAAGUUAGGGGAUCGAAGACGAUCAGAUACCGUCGU